RNAcentral lists this ribosomal RNA (216 nucleotides) under uncultured Glomus. RNAcentral's name for it is "partial 18S ribosomal RNA". The stretch from base 75 to 216 matches the Rfam family "Eukaryotic small subunit ribosomal RNA", at positions 721 to 864 of the family's 1831-position model. Lineage: Eukaryota; Fungi; Glomeromycota; Glomeromycetes; Glomerales; Glomeraceae. The record is from RNAcentral.
GAGUCAGCAGGUCGGUCGUGCCACAGGUAUGUACUGGUCUUGCUGAUUCCUCCCUCUUGACGAGCCGUAAUGCCAUUAAUUUGGUGUUGCGGGGAAUCAGGACUGUUACUUUGAAAAAAUUAGAGUGUUUAAAGCAGGCUUACGCUUGAAUACAUUAGCAUGGAAUAAUGAAAUAGGACGUUCGAUCCUAUUUUGUUGGUUUCUAGGAUCGACGUA